AGGGGCGUGUGGGCUGGAGGUCGCUGUCCCUUCUGCGAAUCGGUCGAGCAACGCUGGAGUGGGCAGCUGGGUCAACGGAGACCUAAAUAUGGGGUUAGGUCGGGAGCGGUCACAGCUUCAUUCAUUGGGCAGCUACCAGGGCUUGCCAUGCGCUGUGAGGCACUGUGUCGAAGCCCCUCCUUGCCUCCCCAGAGCUUUGCUCUGUCCGCUCCACACCAACCUCCAAGCGUAAAUAAAGUUCCCUCCCUUUGGCUCAGCCUUUUAAGGAGCCUUUGUGACCGCGGAGGGUGGUUUGCUCUGACACUAACCAAACUUCACCUUCUGGAGGGCCACUUGCCCAGGUCCCGUUUGUGGCCAUGGUAUGGAUCUUAGCAACGUGUUCACACGAUCAUGUUUUUAUAAACUUAGCAAAACUGGCGGUAUCAGUAUUUUAAUCCACAUCUGUUAAGACAACUGCCUCUUUCCACUGGGACUUUCCGGUCUGGGAGCAUUGAAGUAGCCAGGGGCAUCUUGGGGAGUUUUUAGGUCGGUCUUCUCUUGACUAGGGCUUGAUUGUGUCUACUUGGGCUGCCUUUGGGUUCUGGGUUGUACAGAGUCCCGAUGAGAGACUCAGUAAAGAUAAAAGGGAAACAGUUGCCUUUCUAAAGUGCCUCCAAAUCUCGGAUGGUGGCAGCCUCCUCCCUCCACCCCUCCCAUCAACGAAAGAAGGACAGCGUGUGGUGAAAGAGAACCAUCAGAAGAACUGCAGCCAUGGGUCCUCUCUCUGUGUCAGGCAAGGCUUUACUGUGAACCACUAAUGUGCCAGGUACCAUGUGUGGAGGCACUGGCCCAAAGAUGAAGAUGAGGUUUCUCUCCUUGAGAAGCGGAGUGUGGGAGACAGACAGGUGUCCUUCUAAGAGAAAGGCAGUGGUUCCU
This is a long non-coding RNA of Bos taurus (domestic cattle), 915 nucleotides long. The record is from Ensembl. Lineage: Eukaryota; Metazoa; Chordata; Mammalia; Artiodactyla; Bovidae.